Molecule: long non-coding RNA, 2870 nt
Organism: Gossypium raimondii (Peruvian cotton)
Lineage: Eukaryota; Viridiplantae; Streptophyta; Magnoliopsida; Malvales; Malvaceae
Exons: 2
Source: RefSeq, a predicted model, not a curated record
UCGUUCAUUUCUAUAAAUCAAGCUCACCUUUACGCUCUAACACAUCAUAUCAAACUCCCUUUCGGUGCAGUUGCACAGCUUCAUGCUUCCUUAUUUUCCUUUUCUUUUCUUUCCAAUUUUUUUCUUCCACUGUUUUAUGCAGAGAGAGAUUCCUGGAGUUAACUAGCAAAUUGGAGAUUUUUUUCAAUCACUAAUUGGUGAGUGAUUUCCAUGCCAUGCUUGUCAAGUGAGCAGCCUUUUGCGGGUUAAUCCUUUCUUUCGUUGUCUGUUCGACCUUGAACACAUCUUUAUAACAGGGUUUAAUCAACACAUAGUUGAAAUAACAUACUCAUACUGAACCCAUAUAUCUAUUCCAAUUCCAUCUUUGCUUAGUUACCCUUUUGAUCUUCACAUAUUCCUAUGGGAACCUGCAUAUAUGAUCUAGGUACUUUUUUCUUUUUAGGUUUGAACUUUGAAUAGGCAUGCGUGGUAUUGGUAGGUGUGUAUAACCUUGUGAUUUCCGUUAGCUACUACGGUUGCUUCGCUGGAUGACUGUAAGGUUCAGUGCAAGUUAGCAACUAAAGGAAACAUGUCAAACUACCAUAUGAUUGGUUCAAGUACUCACCUUUCAUGAUGUUACCAUUUACCAUCUGAAUCAGGGAAGGAACCACGAGGUUUCAGUAUACUUCAACUUGAGGUCUUUUGUUCAUGCUUUUGCCUUUCGGCAUCUUAAGUGAAUUCUAUAAAGAUUAAUAGCUUAUGGCGCAUUCAUGAAAUGAAUUAUUUUAGAUUUGAAGUCCUAGUCUUUUGAUUGAGGAUACAUGGUUGUUCAAAUCUGAUGACUGUAAACAGGAUUUGAUUAAGCUUUAGGCAGAUUUUGAUUAAUAAUAUCGUGCAAAUCAAACUAUAAGUCUAUAACCUAGACAUCCAAACAAAGGGACCAUCCUACUAUCCAAUUUUAGAAUGGUUGUGACCCAUCACUUUAACAUUUGUAUGAUGGGUUCUCCGCCAUGGUUAAAGCCAUUUGAAGGUAUGAAGCUCAUGCAUCUUCCUCAUUUACAAGUUAGCAAGGGUUGAACUUGAAGCAUACCCAUACAUAUAUAAAACCCAAAUUACUCUUAGCUUGACUUGACAUUGCUGAUUGCUACUUUGCUUCUCCUAUAGGAAAAUCCAACUAGAAAGCUUUGAAACACUUUCUAUUUGUGCAUAUAUAGAUAUAAGGUUGUGUGUGAUUCUUAAUUUACUUGUCAAACUAGUUGUCUUUUUCUCCAAUUCGUGGAUAAACCUGUUGACUUUACAUAUAUAGAUUAGUUUCAAUGUGUAGAAAAAAUUACAGCAUUGAGAUAGCUUUAGCAAACAUUAUAGAAAAACAAAGGAGAAAGAAAGAAAUGAAGUUCCUAUAGAAUAAGGUGGUAAAGUCUAAGGUCGAUCUGAGAGCGAAAAUGAGGUUUGAAGCAAGAGGCUAUUGAUUUGACAAAGGCUUUGCAUGGAAUUCAACACCUUCAAAUCCAUUUUAAGCCUUAAGUCUUCCAAAACCACCUUUAAAACGGCGUGAUGCCUUGUGCCCCAUUUCUGGGGAUGUGCCAUCUUGAUUCUUUCUAAUUCAAUGUUCCUUCCCGUAAUUUCCUGUAAGGAUUCUUGUUUGAGAAGCAACUUGCCAAGUUAUCCCCCAUAUAAUCCUCUCAACUCCUGCAAUCGAGUGGGCAGGCGGAAUCCCAGCAAUUCUUGUGAUUAUGUCUUCUGGUAGCCAAAGAUAAAAGAGGUCAAUAUUCCACUCACCAUUCCCUGAGACCAUAUCACUUAGCAUGCAAUCCAUAUCCAUAUUAGAAUGUCCGGGAAUUAAGCAAACCAAAGGUCCCACGUUUGGAGUCCAAGGAUCACGCCAACAUCUAAUUUUUUUUCCCAAAUUAAUAAAUUAAACCAUAAGAAAUUUGAGAACAAAGAAUAAAUAAAAAAUUAUAAAUAAAUAAGAAAUAUAAAUUAAAAAGACAAAGUGGAAGAUGGAAUGAUAAAUCGAUGGAUAUGAUGGAUAAAAAUGAUAAAUGUCUCAUUGAACCCUUUGAGAUAUAAAUCCCAACAAACUCAAUUAAUGGUUCUAAUCAGCCUUCCAAGAAAUAAUACUUGGCAAAUUGAAGGGUGAAUAAUGAAUUCCCAUUACCCCUUAAAGAAAAUCGAGAAGAAAAUAUUGCACAAAGAAAUUAACUCAUAGAGUUAAAAACUUUAUUAAUAAAAAAAAAGGUGUCUACUUAAUGAACAAUGAAGAAGUCUUUAUAUAGGUUAGCUAAGUACAUCCAAAUAAAACUCUAAAGUAUACUAAAAUUCUAAUUAAUUAAAACAAUAAAUAGUUUUAAAUUAAUUUUUCUUGUUUGACUAUGAAACAAAAACUCCUAAACAACUUGAAAUACUUAAAUAAUAUCCAAAAUUCAGAAUAAAUAAAUAAUAAAAAUAAUAAAACCUAAAAAAAUACAAUAUUGGGCCCAUAUAUAAUAAAAAUUAAGCCUAAAAACUGAACCAAAAAUGAUUUAAACUCGAAUUAAAAGCUCGAAAUUCGUAAUUUUCGUCAUAAUCUCGUCCAGAAAUUUUGCUCGCGCAAUCUUCACUAAAAUGGUCAUAACUUGAGCUCCCGAACUCGAAAUCAAGUGAUUCAAAGUGAUUUUUGAAGCUAAGAGAUGAUCUUCAAACUAUAUGUAGACAUCUAAGCCCAUUGAGUGACGAUUAGAAAUUUUAAUUAUAGGUAGUUUAGUCCACAUAAUAAAAUGUAAUUAGGUUUUUGGAUUGUCAAGCAACUCUAAUUUGGUCAGAGCAUAAACUCUAUAAAUAGACAUGUUUAGCCUCAUUUUGGGAGCCUUGGCCAAGUGAGCCACUUAGUUAAAUUUAGGUUUUUACUUUAA